Molecule: ribosomal RNA, 431 nt
Filed under: Paenibacillus sp. ICGEB2008
Lineage: Bacteria; Bacillati; Bacillota; Bacilli; Caryophanales; Paenibacillaceae
Description: bacterial SSU rRNA
Rfam family: Bacterial small subunit ribosomal RNA
Source: RNAcentral
UCUUUAAUGGAGAGUUUGAUCCUGGCUCAGGACGAACGCUGGCGGCGUGCCUAAUACAUGCAAGUCGAGCGGGGUUAGUUAGAAGCUUGCUUCUAAUUAACCUAGCGGCGGACGGGUGAGUAACACGUAGGCAACCUGCCCACAAGACAGGGAUAACUACCGGAAACGGUAGCUAAUACCCGAUGCAUCCUUUUCCUGCAUGGGGGAAGGAGGAAAGGCGGAGCAAUCUGUCACUUGUGGAUGGGCCUGCGGCGCAUUAGCUAGUUGGUGGGGUAAAGGCCUACCAAGGCGACGAUGCGUAGCGACCUGAGAGGGUGAUCGGCCACACUGGGACUGAGACACGGCCCAGACUCCUACGGGAGGCAGCAGUAGGGAAUCUUCCGCAAUGGGCGAAAGCCUGACGGAGCAACGCCGCGUGAGUGAUGAAGGUU